CCCUGACCUAUUUUUGAAGCUUUUUGGCAGUAAACUUGACAAGAUCUCUUUGUCAGCUCGAGCAAAAUAUGAAUGGAGCACGAAGGAAAGGCGACGCCGGUUUUGUUUAAUUACUAGUUCCCUUUGGUGCGGAAGAUUGUGAAAUCAGCCAAAGGCAUGAGGAAGUAACUGCCAAAUUUUGCUGCAAUGACUGCAAUUAAGCACUUCCUGUAGUUGUUCUGGCAAUAACCGCAACGCGGAAAGACAGCAGAGAUGAAAUGGAGAUCCAUAAUAUUAAUACGGGAAGCGUACACUGUGGGUACCGGGUGUGAGAGAAGAUGAGCUCUCCGCGUCGCUAGGGGGCGCUCUACGGCCAAACACGCCUCAGUGUUUAAACACGCCCUUCCUAUGCGACGCGCUGGCUAUGCUUAAGACAAGAUGGCGACCGUGAGUUCCGCGUUGUGGCUCCGCAAAGCGCUGAGGCCGUCGCUGUGCGCGCGCCUGGGCCACGCGGCCAAAGCGGUGGGAGCAACAGCUGGAGGCCAGAGAGAGAGUUCAUCCUUUACAGUGAGUAUUAUUCACUCUGUGUGUGUGCUUGUGCGAGAGAGAGAACAUCUGGUACGUCCAUUCACCCUGAGGCCAGCGGGUGGCGUAGUGUUUAGCACUGUCACCUUGCAAUGGAGGACCCAGGUUCAAAUCUCACUUCCUGCUCCAGUACCCUUCCUUCGGCAGGGUGCUUACCUUGAAUUGGUCCAGGAAAAAUUACCCUGCUCUAAGUGGAUAAGUCAGUGUAUUGCCUCACAUUAUUGCUGACUGGUAAAUCCAGCUAGGGAACUGUACAGUCCACGUCACUUUGACCUGUGUGCUGGUUGACCGUGGCCCUCGGCGGUUUAUUUUCUUCAGUUGUACGUCGGUCAGGACGUUUUUCUUUUUCUCUCCACUGUCGCCAGCCGGCAGCCAUCGAAAAGGAAAUCUUUUGAUGACAAUAUAUUAAAGUUUAUAAUCACACUUAUUUGCUUAGCUUUGUCUUUUAACACUUAUUUUAUUCUUUUUGGUUCUUUCUACUGUGUUAAUGUAUAUUGAUUUGUGCAAAUAUGUGUUGUACGUGCUGGUUCUCUAAGCAUACGUUGUAUUAAUGAAGUGCAGCUACAGUAACGUAAUGAAAUAAAAGAUCUCCACCAGGUAAUCGAGGCCUUGAU
This 1178-nucleotide long non-coding RNA is filed under the name Scleropages formosus (Asian bonytongue). Its description in RNAcentral is "lncRNA (ENSSFOG00015032883.1)". Lineage: Eukaryota; Metazoa; Chordata; Actinopteri; Osteoglossiformes; Osteoglossidae. The record is from RNAcentral.